UUGUAGUCUGCAACUCGACUACAUGAAGCUGGAAUCGCUAGUAAUCGCGGAUCAGAAUGCCGCGGUGAAUACGUUCCCGGGUCUUGUACACACCGCCCGUCACACCAUGGGAGUCAGUAACGCCCGAAGCCGGUGACCCAACCUAAACAGGAGGGAGCCGUCGAAGGCGAGACGGAUGACUGGGGUGAAGUCGUAACAAGGUAUC
RNAcentral lists this ribosomal RNA (205 nucleotides) under uncultured bacterium. RNAcentral describes it as "partial 16S ribosomal RNA". It matches the Rfam family "Bacterial small subunit ribosomal RNA", at positions 1298 to 1500 of the family's 1533-position model. The record is from RNAcentral.